Long non-coding RNA from Physeter macrocephalus (sperm whale), 833 nucleotides. RefSeq lists it as uncharacterized. The record is from RefSeq and is a predicted model, not a curated record. The transcript is spliced from 3 exons. NCBI's taxonomy places the organism in Eukaryota, Metazoa, Chordata, Mammalia, Artiodactyla, Physeteridae.
UCUUUUGUUUCUUUUCGGAUCCCCAGUGGUGUUGUACAUACUCAGAAUUUUAGAGACUCAAAACACACCACAAGUACAGCUGAAAAGCUUGAAAAACUUUACCGAAAGAGUCAAAAUAGUAUGUUAGAUCAUGUAUGUGUUGAAUCAGGAGUACAUCUCAUCUAAAUUAGGAAAAAAAUAAAUUCAAAUAUUCUGGAAGUAAUGAGAUCAUUGAGCCUGUGGUGUACUUACACUAUUCUGAUGAACCUGCGUAUCUGCAAAGUUAGACAUGCUUGUGAGAAACAUUUAUAUGACGUCACUAAGUUGUUUUCAACAGUCAAGAUAAUCUGGAGGUGGGGGGAAAAUAGGAGAUAAUUCAUUUGUCAGACUAACUGUUGUCAGAGUCCUGUCCCUAGAUGAAUUGAUAAGAAGCCAAAGGCAAAAUGAGGAAGUACCAUGAGGCUCUGAGUGUUUUAAAAAGAGAGGUGGCUUCUAACUGGGAAGAUCAAAAAAAGCAUCAUUAAAGAGCUGGUAUUUGAACAGAGGAAGGAUCAAUGAGACCGAAGUUCCAAGGAGUUAUGUGUCUUAUCCAUAUGUCAGUUAGCUAAGUAAAUGGCAGAACUAGGACUCUCUAUUCUGUUCUCUAACUUUUCCAUCAUCAGCCUUUAGACCUUCAACUGAUUGGAUAAGGCGCACUAACAGUGGGGAGGACAGUCUUCUUUACCAGGUCUGCUGAUUCAAGUGUUAAUCUCAUCCAAAACAUCCUCUCAGACACACCCAGCAUAACGUUUGACCAAAUAUCUGCUGAUCCCAUGGCCCAGUCAAGUUGACACAGAAAAUAAACCAUCACUGCU